AUCCAGAUGAUGAGCCCCAAAUAGGACGAAAUGUGCAUCCUGUAU
This 45-nucleotide non-coding RNA is filed under the name Trichobilharzia regenti. Lineage: Eukaryota; Metazoa; Platyhelminthes; Trematoda; Strigeidida; Schistosomatidae. The record is from RNAcentral.